UUUGAUACUAAUCCCAAUGUACUGCUAUAUUCGUUCAUCCUGAGACUAGAGAGGGUUUGCAUACAUAAGUGCCUGCUUGGUUUAGGACCUAGAAGCUCAUAGAUAACUGCACCAAAUGGAUGAAUUUUAGGGGAUAUUAUUGUAUGAGGGGUCAUGCCCCUUGCUUCUCAAACCAUGAUGUAUGGGCUAACGCUUACUUAGCCUUCUCAUAAAGUCAUUCUGCAUUAGAGUUUAGAGACUAAAGAUACUAGAAUACCCAUUCUUCAAACAACUUUUACAUUUACAUAAUUGUUCUCUAACUUUUUUUUUUUUUUUGAGAUGGAGUUUCGCUGUUGUUACCCAGACUGGAGUGCAAUAGCAUGAUCUUGGCUCACUGCAACCUCCGCCUCCUGGGUUAAAGCAAUUCUCCUGCCUCAGCCUCCCGAGUAGCUGGGACUACAGGCGCGCACCACCAUGCCCAGCUAAUUUUUGGAUUUUUAGUAGAGACGGGGUUUCAUCUUGUUGACCAGGAUGGUCUUGAUCUCUUGACCUCGUGAUCCACCCGCCUCGGCCUCCCAAAGUGCUGGGAUUAUAGGCAUCAGCCACCGCGCCCGGCCAAUGCAGGGAUUUUUUUUCAGAGCUUUUCCAUUUCCCCAAAUGCCUAACUGAAUUUUUUACCCAGAUUAUUCUAAAUGACAGAGCUGUUGUUUUUUUUCUUUCUUUUUUUUUCAGUGAUGCUUCAUAAAGCUGUAGGGGAUCCACUGAGUUACUGCAGGAGGAUUGGAGAGGGAAGAGAUCUUUGAUUUUACAUAUUUUGCUUUUGUUUAAUUUUUCCCUUGAAGAAAGAAUUGUCCUAAAAAUUUCUGAAAACUAUAAGUGGAUUUUGUUUAUGAUGAUCAAGCCGAUACUUGAAAACAAUUGAAUGUAGGACACUUUUCAUUGAAGGCCCAUAUAUAUGUGUGUGUGUGUGUGUGUGUGUGUGUGUGUGUGUGUGUGUGUGUAGAUAUAAUUUUUUUUUUAGAUAAUUAUUAUUAUUAUUUUUUGACAGAGUCUUAUCUGUCACUCAGGCUGGAGUGCAGUGGUAUGAUCUUAGUUCACUGCAACCUCCGCCUCCUGGGUUCAAGUGAUUCUCCUGCCUCAGCCUCUCCAGUAGCUGGGAUUACAGGUUGGCACUUACGAUUGUGGAUUUAUAACACAGGAUAUUUUAAAUAAUACAAAUGAACAGCCAGAUGGAGAGGCACAUCAGACAAGGUCUGGAAGGAUUUCAAGCACAGGAGCUUCUGUCCCCGUGAAGUUGUGGUAAGUCAUCCUCCUCACAUGGGAAUGUGUUCAUCCAACUGGAAGCUCUUCAAAUCCCUUACUUUUGGAAUUUUUGUGGAGGCUUCAUCAUGUAGGCAUGACUAUUAACUACAUAUCUAGCCCUUUUCCCUUCUCCAGAGAAUAGAAGAUGGGGCUAAAAGUUGUAAGCUUUUAAUCAUAGUUUGGUCUUUCUGGUGAUCAGCCCCAUCCAGGAGAUGACCAAGAGAUGCCCCAGUAAAAUGAAAGACACUCCUAUGGCCUAGGAAAUUCCAAAGCGUUUAAGAGCUCUGUGUCAGAUACUCGGAUCACUAAGGAAAUUUCAACAGUGUUAGGAGUGCUAUGUCAGAAGCUACAUCAAAGUUUAUUAGAACAAAAGAUUCUCCUAGAACCCCUAUUUACAGGGUUUCUAGGAGCUCUGUGUUAGGAACCAGGGACAGAGACCAAUGCCUAUAUUUCCUAUUAUUUCAGUGUUAACCCCUGGUCUCUGGUCACAGACCCCGCACCACAAAAUGAUCAUAUCUACCAGAACAUUUACAUUUAAUGUGGCAUUUAUAGAACAGAUAGAGCAGUAGUACCAAUACAAGUAUGCCUAACAUUUGGAAGCCAGUAUGGAGAAAAGAUAGAUUUAAAUACACAAUUAAAUUGUCUCAAA
RNAcentral lists this long non-coding RNA (1930 nucleotides) under Callithrix jacchus (white-tufted-ear marmoset). Its description in RNAcentral is "lncRNA (ENSCJAG00000078806.1)". Lineage: Eukaryota; Metazoa; Chordata; Mammalia; Primates; Cebidae. The record is from RNAcentral.